UACAGAGACUGCAAGCGUUAUUCGGAUUCACUGGGCGUAAAGGGUGCGCAGGCGGCCGAGUGUGUGAGGCGUGAAAGCCCGGGGCUUAACCCCGGAAUUGCACCUCAAACUACACGGCUAGAGCAUUGGAGAGGGUAGCAGAAUUCAUGGUGUAGCAGUGAAAUGCGUAGAUAUCGUGAGGAAUACCAGAGGCGAAGGCGGCUACCUGGACAAUUGCUGACGCUCAGGCACGAAAGCGUGGGGAGCAAAAGGG
This 253-nucleotide ribosomal RNA is filed under the name uncultured bacterium. Its description in RNAcentral is "partial 16S ribosomal RNA". It matches the Rfam family "Bacterial small subunit ribosomal RNA", at positions 524 to 776 of the family's 1533-position model. The record is from RNAcentral.